This is a long non-coding RNA of Dreissena polymorpha, 2545 nucleotides long. RefSeq lists it as uncharacterized. The record is from RefSeq and is a predicted model, not a curated record. The transcript is spliced from 2 exons. Lineage: Eukaryota; Metazoa; Mollusca; Bivalvia; Myida; Dreissenidae.
UUACUAUGUCCAGUUUUGGCCCUUAUGGCCCUUUGUUUGUUUUACAACUGUAGAAAAUAAAGUCCACAGAAGCUCGUGUUUUCAACUGUUCAUUAACUACUGGGUGAAUCUCGCUCAAACUUUCACAGUUGAAUGACGUUAAAGUGUAGAUGAUCGUAAGAAAGGCACUUCGUCUCCGACUAUUUUUGACAGAAUUAUAGCACAGAAUGAGUUUGUUUUCCACUAAAACUUCACGGAAGCGGACAACGACAACGAGCGAGGCAUGGUAUUGUAAUGCGCAUGGGGGAGGGGGGUUUAGAGGGUUACGGUAAGGGUUAGGGUAAGGGGUCGUGUUUGGGUUAGGGUUAGCCUAAACCCUAACCUUAACCCUUACCCGACCCCUAACCAUAACCCAUGGUUAUCUCCCCUAUACCAUGCCUCGCUCGUUGUCGUUGUCCCCUUCCCAAAACUACAUGGUCUCAAAUUUAUAUGUUUUGUCUACUCCUCUUUAGCUUAGGGGUGAAUCUCGAUUAUACUUUCACAGUUUCAUGACCUCUAUGUGUAUAUGAUAGUUAAGAAAGGAAUUUGGAAAGGAUUGGGCUGAAUUAUGGUCCUUUUUCAAACAUUAUUUCGGGGGCACCAGUGUCUGUGACAUAUUUCUAAUUUUAUUUAGUAUUGCCGAGUUUGCUAUUUGUGUAAUAUUUAAUGAUUAUUGUAAGGACUUAAUGCAUACAUAAAUAUUUAUGUAAUUAGAAUUGAUUUUUGUGGAACUAUAUGUGUCAAUUAACUUUCAUUGUGUUACCAAGUCCCUUUACGUUUUAUUAUAUCAAAUUGGGUUUAAUAUCAGUAUAAGUAUUACGUGUUCGCUGUUAAUUUAAAGAAUUUAGCAUGCAUUAUUAUGCCCCCCUUCGAAGAAGAUGGGGUAAAUUGCUUUGCACGUUUCGGUCUGUCUGUCGGUCCGUCCACCUGGUGGUUUCCGGAUGAUAACUCAAGAACGCUUGGGCCUAGGAUCAUGAAACUUCAUAGGUACAUUGAUCAUGACUCGCAGAUGACCCCUAUUGAUUUUGAGGUCACUAGGUCAAAGGUCAAGGUCACGGUGACCCGAAAUAGUAAAAUGGUUUCCGGAUGAUAACUCAAGAACGCAUACACCUAGGAUCAUGAAACUUCAUCGUUAGAUAGAUCAUGACUCGCAGAUGACCUCAAUUGAUUUUGAGGUCACUAGGUAAAAGGUCAAGGUCACGGUGACCCAAAAUAGUAAAAUGAUUUUCGGAUGAUAACUCAAGAACGCAUACGCCUAGGAUCAUGAAACUUCAUAGGUAGAUUAAUCAUGACUCGCAGAUAACCCCUAUUGAUUUUGAGGUCACUAGGUCAAAGGUCAAGGUCACAGUGACCCGAAAUAGUAAAAUGAUUUUCGGAUGAUAACUCAAAAACGCAUACUCCUAGGAUCAUGAAACUUCAUAGGUAGAUUGAUCAUGUCUCACAGAUGACCCCGAUUGAUUUUGAGGUCACUAGGUCAAAGGUCAAGGUCACGGUGACCCGAAAUAGUAAAAUGGUUUUCGGAUGAUAACUCAAGAACGCAUACUCCUAGGAUCAUGAAACUUCAUAGGUAGAUUGAUCAUAACUCACAGAUGACCCCUAUUGAUUUUGAGGUCACUAGGUCAAAGGUCAAGGUCACGGUGACCCGAAAUAGUAAAAUGGUUUUAGGAUGAUAAGUCAAGAACGCAUAUGGCUAGGAUCAUGAAACUUAAUGGGAAGAUUGAUCAUGACUCGCAGAUGACCCCUAUUGAUUUUGAGGUCACUUGGUCAAAGGUCAAGGUCACGGUGACCCAAAAUAGUUAAAUGGUUUCCGGAUGAUAACUCAAGAACGCUUACGCCUAGGAUCAUGAAACUUCAUAGGUACAUUGAUCAUGACUCGCAGAAGACCCAUAUUGAUUUUCAGGUCACUGAGUCAAAGGUCAAGGUCACGGUUACCCAAAACAGUUAAAUUGUUUCCGGAUAAUAACUCAAGAACGCUUUUGCCUGGGAUCAUGACACUUCAUAGGUACAUUGAUCAUGACACGCAGAUGACACCUAUUGAUUUUCAGGUCACUAGGUCAAAGGUCAAGGUCACAGUGACAAAAAACGUAUUCACACAAUGGCUGCCACUACAACGGACAGCCCAUAUGGGGGGCAUGCAUGUUUUACACACAGCUCUUGUAUUAAAUUAGUUUUUCCCGUAUCAGUGGACUUUUCAGAUUUAUUGCUUUUUUUUACAAAAUGGCCAUGAAAAGGCAUGAUGUGUCAAUAUUUGUUGAUAAAAACAUUCCAAUAUGGUACAUUUUAUUGAAAAAAAUGCUCAAAUUUGCCAUUUUAUCGAAUAAAAAAUCCCAAUUACCAGGGUAGACUCAAAUUGGCUUGGAAAACUGAGACUGCAUGCAUACACAGUGAAUGACGGCUGAACUGUCUGAAACUAAUGUUGAAAAAAUCAUUGAUAUAUAUUUAAGAAAAAGGACAACGACAUUCAGCUGUGAAUAUUACAUUCAUACAUACAUGUGUAUUCAUAUAAUAAAUUUCAUUACAUAUAAAA